Molecule: transfer RNA, 76 nt
Filed under: Bartonella alsatica
Lineage: Bacteria; Pseudomonadati; Pseudomonadota; Alphaproteobacteria; Hyphomicrobiales; Bartonellaceae
Also listed under: 1 other name
Description: tRNA-Val
Rfam family: tRNA
About the family: Transfer RNA (tRNA) molecules are approximately 80 nucleotides in length. Their secondary structure includes four short double-helical elements and three loops (D, anti-codon, and T loops).
Source: RNAcentral
GGGCGAUUAGCUCAGCUGGUAGAGCGCUUCGUUUACACCGAAGAUGUCGGGAGUUCAAGUCUCUCAUCGCCCACCA